This 239-nucleotide long non-coding RNA is filed under the name Lathyrus oleraceus (garden pea). RNAcentral's name for it is "Pisum sativum (pea) long non-coding RNA (PSAT_LNC004834)". Lineage: Eukaryota; Viridiplantae; Streptophyta; Magnoliopsida; Fabales; Fabaceae. The record is from RNAcentral.
AAAAAAGUUGGGCUUGUGAAGCUAGGGCUUGUGUGGAUAUCAAGUCUCAAAAGCAUGGUCUAACCAUGUCAUCAAGCAUAGAGAUGUGAAACCCUAAUUGUGGUGGUAAAGGCUUGAACUCAACAAGGAUUUGUCCAAGCAAUCCUCUAGGGUAUUUAAAACUCUAAUUUCUCAAGGCAUGAUCUUAUGAAGCUUCCCUAGGCCUUGUCUUGGUCUUCAAAACCCUAAUGCAGGUUCAC